Molecule: transfer RNA, 69 nt
Filed under: Oncylocotis sp. PJ-2015
Lineage: Eukaryota; Metazoa; Arthropoda; Insecta; Hemiptera; Enicocephalidae
Description: tRNA-Met
Rfam family: tRNA
About the family: Transfer RNA (tRNA) molecules are approximately 80 nucleotides in length. Their secondary structure includes four short double-helical elements and three loops (D, anti-codon, and T loops).
Source: RNAcentral
AGAAAAAUAAGCUAAAUAAGCUUUUAGGUUCAUACCCUAACUAUAAAAGUUAUAAUCUUUUUUUUUCUA